This 254-nucleotide ribosomal RNA is filed under the name uncultured bacterium. RNAcentral describes it as "partial 16S ribosomal RNA". It matches the Rfam family "Bacterial small subunit ribosomal RNA", at positions 524 to 776 of the family's 1533-position model. The record is from RNAcentral.
UACGUAGGGUGCGAGCGUUAAUCGGAAUUACUGGGCGUAAAGCGUGCGCAGGCGGUUUUGUAAGACAGGUGUGAAAUCCCCGGGCUUAACCUGGGAACUGCGCUUGUGACUGCAAGACUCGAGGUACGGCAGAGGGGGGUAGAAUUCCACGUGUAGCAGUGAAAUGCGUAGAGAUGUGGAGGAAUACCGAUGGCGAAGGCAGCCCCCUGGGUCGAUACUGACGCUCAUGCACGAAAGCGUGGGGAGCAAACAGG